GACGAACGCUGGCGGCGUGCUUAACACAUGCAAGUCGAACGGUAAGGCCCUUCGGGUACGACGAGUGGCGAACGGGUGAGUAACACGUGGGUGAUCUGCCCUGCACUUCGGGAUAAGCCUGGGAAACUGGGUCUAAUACCGGAUAGGACUCCUGGCUUCAUGGUUGGGGGUGUAAAGCUUUUGCGGUGUGGGAUGGGCCCGCGGCCUAUCAGCUUGUUGGUGGGGUAAUGGCCUACCAAGGCGACGACGGGUAGCCGGCCUGAGAGGGUGACCGGCCACACUGGGACUGAGAUACGGCCCAGACUCCUACGGGAGGCAGCAGUGGGGAAUAUUGCACAAUGGGCGCAAGCCUGAUGCAGCGACGCCGCGUGAGGGAUGACGGCCUCGGUU
RNAcentral lists this ribosomal RNA (390 nucleotides) under uncultured bacterium. RNAcentral describes it as "bacterial SSU rRNA". It matches the Rfam family "Bacterial small subunit ribosomal RNA", at positions 28 to 424 of the family's 1533-position model. The record is from RNAcentral.